CCCUUAGAUGCUCUGGGCCGCACGCGCGCUACACUGGUCGAUGCAACGAGUUUCUUUCCUUGGCCGACAGGCCUGGGCAAUCUUUGAACAUCGAUCGUGAUCGGGAUAGAUUCUUGUAAUUUUUGAUCUUAAACGAGGAAUUCCUAGUAAACGCAAGUCAUCAGCUUGCAUUGAUUACGUCCCCGCCCUUUGUACACACCGCCCGUCGCACCUACCGAUUGAAUGGUCCGGUGAAAUCUCCGGACUGGCGUGAGUCGGAGCAAUCUGACAAACGCCGGAAAGUUGAUUAAACCUUACCAUUUAGAGGAAGGUGAAGUCGUAACA
Molecule: ribosomal RNA, 324 nt
Filed under: uncultured eukaryote
Lineage: Eukaryota
Description: partial 18S ribosomal RNA
Rfam family: Eukaryotic small subunit ribosomal RNA
Source: RNAcentral